CUAACCCUCUAUAUAUAACAACGCGUAGACCUUAUUAAGUUUCUCAUACCCGCUUAAUUCAUUGAUUCAUUCAAUUUUUGUUCAUCGUUUUCUCUAGAUCUCCCUUUUAUAUCGUCGUAUCGGAGGUUUUCCGAUGAAGAUCGUAACAGAUCUGCUUCCGAUCUAAAGAUCGGCGUCUUAUACGAAGAGAUCCAGAGGCUCCGGUUGAUUCCUCGGCAGAAGACGGAACGUCGCGGUCGAGCUCCGAAGAUCGGUUGAAGAACUGGUAAUUAUGGCUUCUCGUAACUGGAUCUGAUAAUCGAUUCGUUUAAUUCGAUUGAAUUCUUUGUAAUUAUGAUAUUUAUUCGGUGAUUUAAAAUUCCAGAUCUGAUCUUAGAUCAUGAAUCGGCCUCGAGGUUCGUCAGAUGUACGAUAUGCUCUCUACUGAGCUUGUGAUUAGGUGACGAUUUCGUCAAUUAUUGAUGGAGCUAGAGAGAGAGGAGAGAUUGAAGAAGAGAGAAGAAGCUGAUAUGUGAUAUUGAUGUGAGUUAAGUUGAUUGAUGGAUGUAUGAGAUGUUUAUAGGGACGAUAUAGUUCUGAAUAAACAUCUUUGUCAUCCGACCUUUGCCAUGACAGGUGCGCUUGCAUGGCAGGUCACCAAAAAUCCUUAAUAAAAAAAAAAGUUUCGUGGUUGUUGAGGGGAGUUCGCACGGGGGAUUUUUUUUGCCCGGGUUCUCCCCUCUCGUGUGUGUGUGUGUCUUGCUUCUCGCUCUUUCACACUCUGAUUCCUUUGAUCUCCAUUCGUUCUCAAAAAUUCUCUGAAUACCACAGAAAUAUUCUCGAUCCGGAUCUUAAGAUCAGCGGAUCUGGAGACAAGCUGGCCUAUUCAAAAUCCAACAUCCACCAACAAACAAAGGUACUUUUAAUUUGAGUUUUAAUUCUACGUUUUAUUCUUUUAUUUGCAUCAUACAGUAUAACAAAUCUGACUCCCAGUAUUCAUAACAACUUCGAAUCAUCGGGUUUAAUUUUUGUGCACUCAUACUCAAAAUUCAUUGUUGCAAAUCAUUAUUCUCAAAAUAAUUUCACUAAGUAAUCAUGGAAAAUUAAAUUGUUUUGUCGAUUACCACCAUGUUUGUUAAUUUCGGAAAUGCAAUUGUAUAUGUAUGCACUUUAUCGAUCUUCUAUUGUUCGUAGUUUUUUUUUGGUGUAAGUAAAGUCAUUCAUCGAUCUACUAUUGUAUAAUACCUACAUAAAGUAUCAGUAGUGAAAUUUCUUUGCCCAAUUCUACAGAAUUUUAUUUUAUUUAGUAAUUAUAGAGUCGCAUAUGUUAUUUAUAUGACCUGGAUUUGCUCACGGCUGCACUGUCAAGAGCUAUGACUACAAUAGCUAGCUUCCGGAGAAGAAAUAACAUGAGUAUCGAAGGUAUCUGAUUUUUUUUGGUAUGAUGGCGGUUGGACUCAAUUCGAACCUGUAGCUUUGUUUCGAUUAAUCUUUACUUUGAAUUAUCGUUGUAUUUGUUCAAUAAGUUUGCUUUAGACUUUUGCACUCUGAUGGGAUCAUUCAAAUAACAUUAAUUCAGUUUCAAUUCUAUGCAUUGAUCUUUGAUUUAUGUCAUGCAACUUUGUGGUUUUACUGUUUCAAAUUAUUUCCAUUUGACGAUUUAUACAUGUUUCAAGUGUCACAAGUUUGAUUUUUGUCUAAUUUGGUACUAUUAUAGACUCUGCAACCAUGGGCUUUCGUCUUCAUGAUGUUUCAAGUGGGGAGAAAGAUUGGAGCAACUAUAUUAAAAUGAAUGUCGGUAGCCUAUGGACUUAAACCAAAAUGGACAAAGGUUUGACCUAAUAGAUCUGUAAGCUCAAAAUGGUAGAGCUCUCGUUAUGAGAGGUUGGUGGUUCGAAUCCACCCAGAUCUGUCUGCUUUCUACCCUUUUUCACCUUAUCAUGUCAUUGGAUAAUCCUAAUUUUGAAUUUAAGUUAGGGAAUAUGAUUGACCUAUCGGCUGUUAUUGCUAAAAUUAUCAAGUCUCUUUUUACCUGAGCAACCGGCACGAAGGAAGGUGGAAUGAAGCAUCGUUAAAGCAACGGCGACUAUACAUUGAUAUUCUGUCUAGAUGUGUUAUUUGGAUUACAAGCAACUAAGCAAGGACCAUAAUUCACUCCCACAGGCCACAGCCAUAAAAGUCAUAUUUUUAUGAUUAGCCCUAACUAAUGAAAGAUGAUUGCAAAAUUCUGUUCAUCACCUUUUUUUUUUUUUUGAAAACGAUUCUGUUCAUCACCUUUGGGAUAUAAAUCAAGGCUAACUCGUUCACAAUAAUUGAAGUUAUCCCAUGUUUUGCUUGUUAAAGUAAAUUAAUUAUGUAUUAUAUUUGCAGUGACAAAAUAAAUUGUUAUGCUUUCAGGGUACAAGAAGAUCUGAACCAAGGCAAUGAACGAGAAAGUGCAUAUGUGCGGGGCGGAGGAGGCUAGAGAUUAUAGAGGAACUGAACAGGUUAUUGGCAGAACUUCUUUGUAUUUGCUGGUCCACAGAGAGUUUCGUGACUUGCGUUUUGACAACGUUAAGAUUUGGUCGGACUAUAUAGCUGCUUUUGAAGCGGUUAACAAUCCGAUUAAAUGGCCGCGAUACCGUAAUUUUGUUAGUCGUAUAAAACACGCUUUAUCCGAUUAAAUGGCCGCUUCAAUCGUCUCUUUCUUUUUAAUUUUUAUGUUUUAGAGAUGUAUGGCUCUGUUUUUUAUUUUAUGUGGUUUACAAACUCUGUUUCAAGUUCUUCGUUUACAUUUUGAAAUUAAACUAGACGACAAAAAAAAUUGAAAAUUAUUCUUUCAAUUUAGUAUGAAAUUAAGAUAAUUCAUAAAAAGAAACUAUUCCGAAAAUGUAUAUAUAGAUAUUGAUGUGGUAACAACAACA
Molecule: long non-coding RNA, 2882 nt
Filed under: Arabidopsis lyrata
Lineage: Eukaryota; Viridiplantae; Streptophyta; Magnoliopsida; Brassicales; Brassicaceae
Description: long non-coding RNA (ALYR_LNC000749)
Rfam family: tRNA (bases 1823-1891)
Source: RNAcentral